AGUGAACGCUGGCGGUAGGCCUAACACAUGCAAGUCGAACGGCAGCACAGUAAGAGCUUGCUCUUACGGGUGGCGAGUGGCGGACGGGUGAGGAAUACAUCGGAAUCUACUUUUUCGUGGGGGAUAACGUAGGGAAACUUACGCUAAUACCGCAUACGACCUACGGGUGAAAGCAGGGGAUCUUCGGACCUUGCGCGAUUGAAUGAGCCGAUGUCGGAUUAGCGAGUUGGCGGGGUAAAGGCCCACCAAGGCGACGAUCCGUAGCUGGUCUGAGAGGAUGAUUAGCCACACUGGAACUGAGAGACGGUCCAGACUCCUACGGGAGGCAGCAGUGGGGAAUAUUGGACAAUGGGCGCAAGCCUGAUCCAGCCAUACCGCGUGGGUGAAGAAGGCCUUCGGGUUGUAAAGCCCUUUUGUUGGGAAAGAAAAGCAGCAGGUUAAUACCCCGCUGUUCUGACGGUACCCAAAGAAUAAGCACCGGCUAACUUCGUG
RNAcentral lists this ribosomal RNA (492 nucleotides) under uncultured bacterium. Its description in RNAcentral is "partial 16S ribosomal RNA". It matches the Rfam family "Bacterial small subunit ribosomal RNA", at positions 29 to 507 of the family's 1533-position model. The record is from RNAcentral.